This 425-nucleotide ribosomal RNA is filed under the name uncultured bacterium. RNAcentral's name for it is "bacterial SSU rRNA". It matches the Rfam family "Bacterial small subunit ribosomal RNA", at positions 356 to 773 of the family's 1533-position model. The record is from RNAcentral.
GGGGAAUUUUGGACAAUGGGGGCAACCCUGAUCCAGCCAUGCCGCGUGAGUGAAGAAGGCCUUCGGGUUGUAAAGCUCUUUCGGCCGGGAAGAAAUCGCCUAGGUUAAUACCCUGUGCGGAUGACGGUACCGGCAUAAGAAGCACCGGCUAACUACGUGCCAGCAGCCGCGGUAAUACGUAGGGUGCGAGCGUUAAUCGGAAUUACUGGGCGUAAAGCGUGCGCAGGCGGUUUUGUAAGACAGGCGUGAAAUCCCCGGGCUCAACCUGGGAACUGCGCUUGUGACUGCAAGGCUAGGGUACGGCAGAGGGGGGUGGAAUUCCACGUGUAGCAGUGAAAUGCGUAGAGGUGUGGAGGAACACCAAUGGCGAAGGCAGCCCCCUGGGUCGAUACUGACGCUCAUGCACGAAAGCGUGGGUAGCAAAC